GACGAACGCUGGCGGCGUGCCUAAUACAUGCAAGUUGAGCGCUGAAGGCUGGUACUUGUGCCAACUGGAUGAGCAGCGAACGGGUGAGUAACGCGUGGGGCAUCUGCCUUUGAGCGGGGGACAACAUGUGGAAACGAAUGCUACUACCGCAUAAAAACUUUAAACACAAGUUUUAAGUUUGAAAGAUGCAAUUGCAUCACUCAAAGAUGAUCCCGCGUUGUAUUAGCUAGUUGGUGAGGUAAAGGCCCACCAAGGCGAGGAUACAUAGCCGACCUGCGAGGGUGGGCGGCCACAUUGGGAAUGAGACACGCCCCAAAGUCCCUCGGGAAGGAGCCAUAGGGAAUCUUCGGCCAUGGACGGAAGUCUGACCGAGAAACGCCGAGUGAGGGUAGAAGGGUGUCGGGUCGUAAAAGUCUGUUGGUAGGGAAGAACGUUGGUGAGGGUGGAAAGCACAUCAAGUGACGGUACCUACAGAGAAAGCGACGGCUAACUACGUG
RNAcentral lists this ribosomal RNA (497 nucleotides) under uncultured bacterium. Its description in RNAcentral is "partial 16S ribosomal RNA". It matches the Rfam family "Bacterial small subunit ribosomal RNA", at positions 28 to 507 of the family's 1533-position model. The record is from RNAcentral.